RNAcentral lists this ribosomal RNA (856 nucleotides) under uncultured bacterium. Its description in RNAcentral is "bacterial SSU rRNA". It matches the Rfam family "Bacterial small subunit ribosomal RNA", at positions 8 to 859 of the family's 1533-position model. The record is from RNAcentral.
AGAGUUUGAUCCUGGCUCAGGACGAACGCUGGCGGCGUGCCUAACACAUGCAAGUCGAACGAGAAUCUUUGAAAUGAUUUCUUCGGAAUGAAUUUUAGAGAGGAAAGUGGCGGACGGGCGAGUAACGCGUGAGUAACCUGCCCAUAAGAGGGGGAUAAUCCAUGGAAACGUGGACUAAUACCGCAUAUUGUCAUUUUAUCGCAUGAUUUAAUGAUGAAAGAUUUAUCGCUUAUGGAUGGACUCGCGUCAGAUUAGAUAGUUGGUGAGGUAACGGCUCACCAAGUCGACGAUCUGUAGCCGAACUGAGAGGUUGAUCGGCCGCAUUGGGACUGAGACACGGCCCAGACUCCUACGGGAGGCAGCAGUGGGGAAUAUUGCGCAAUGGGGGCAACCCUGACGCAGCAACGCCGCGUGCAGGAAGAAGGUCUUCGGAUUGUAGACUGUUGUCGCAAGGGAAGAAGACAGUGACGGUACCUUGUGAGAAAGUCACGGCUAACUACGUGCCAGCAGCCGCGGUAAUACGUAGGUGACGAGCGUUGUCCGGAUUUACUGGGUGUAAAGGGCGCGUAGGCGGACUGUCAAGUCAGUCGUGAAAUACCGGGGCUUAACCCCGGGGCUGCGAUUGAAACUGAUAGCCUUGAGUAUCGGAGAGGAAAGCGGAAUUCCUAGUGUAGCGGUGAAAUGCGUAGAUAUUAGGAGGAACACCAGUGGCGAAGGCGGCUUUCUGGACGACAACUGACGCUGAGGCGCGAAAGUGUGGGGAGCAAACAGGAUUAGAUACCCUGGUAGUCCACACCGUAAACGAUGGAUACUAGGUGUAGGAGGUAUCGACCCCUUCUGUGCCGCAGUUAACACA